AGGACGAACGCUGGCGGCGUGCUUAACACAUGCAAGUCGAGCGGAAAGGCCCUUCGGGGUACUCGAGCGGCGAACGGGUGAGUAACACGUGAGUAACCUGGCCUCAGCUUUGGGAUAACCCUCGGAAACGGGGGCUAAUACCGGAUAUUUACUUCCUGUCGCAUGGUGGGGGGUGGAAAGUUUUUCGGCUGGGGAUGGGCUCGCGGCCUAUCAGCUUGUUGGUGGGGUGAUGGCCUACCAAGGCGACGACGGGUAG
This 256-nucleotide ribosomal RNA is filed under the name uncultured bacterium. RNAcentral describes it as "partial small subunit ribosomal RNA". It matches the Rfam family "Bacterial small subunit ribosomal RNA", at positions 26 to 286 of the family's 1533-position model. The record is from RNAcentral.